GAUUUACAAAAUUUGUUUUUUUUUCCUUUUGCCCUUAGCCUCCGUCGUUUCCUCUCUUCUCUUUUGCGAUUUCGAAGCCGCCCUCACGCGACUUCGAAGCCGCCGGCCCUACUUCGGACUCUUCCAUCUUACUCUCCCCACCGUGUGCCGACGCAGAAGACGCCGACCACAUUCCCAUCGUCACCGACCGCACGAGCCCUCUGCUACCGACAUGGGGUCUUCGCCCAACCUCUUCUCUAUUCAUCAUCGUCUUGGUGACCUAAGCAGGGCACUGCCCCGGCCGCCGCCAAGGACUUGAGAUCCUUGGCAGUCUUCUGACAGAGACCCGACCCUUGCCCUCAACGCAGUCGAUGUCCGCACGCCCUGCCCUCAACGUAGCCGAAUUGGGUCACUUAUUAAUAACGGAUUGGAUCUUCCUGGUCCCUUUGAUUCCUCUACGAGAGUUGGUUAAGGAUUUGAGUUCGAAGCAAACCCUCUGACUAGAUGGUUUGGACACUCUACAUUUUCUACAUUUGAGAUGGGAAAGUGAAAGUGAGGAUGAUGGUCUUGACAUGGGUGAUGAUGAUGAUGUUGAGGAACCUGAAAAUGAACCAGAGACUGUUAGGAAAGAACCAAUCAUUGAGAAACCUGCUCCUGUUUCAGCACCACCCAAAGAUGCUGAAAGGCAACUGUCAAAGAAGGAGCUUAAGAAAAAGGAAAUGGCAGAGCUGGAUGCACUUCUACAUGAAAUGGGCAUUGCAAAUUUUAAUUAGUUUAUUUUUGAUAGAUAGUAUAUUUUAAUUCACUUGAGUUGCUUCAUACAUAUGAAGCGAUUGUUUAAUGUGUGUUAAAUUUGUUUAUCCUUGUUAUGCAGACAAGAAGCAAUUGGAGCAAAGUAGUGAAGGGGAGAAGAAAGAAAGUGCUGGUGCUCCUUCAGAGAACAGAAUCUUAAAGAAGAAGAAAUCCAAGAAAGAAAAAUCAUCAAAGGAACAGGAGGAGCAUGAUCAGAAUCAGGAGAAAGAAGACAUUGAAGCUGAAGUGGCAGAUGCAUCUCCAGUUGACGUAAAGGAAAGGAUAAAGAAGGUGGCCUCCAUGAGGUAGAAGAAAUCAAGCAAAGAGAUGGAUGCCGAACAGUUGAAUAAAAGGACUUCUUACUUAAGUAGUAGGCUAAUUGGUACCUCAACUAGUAAAUUGGUGGAUACGGACUUGAUGUGUAUAAUAUUUAUGUGGAUACGGAUUUGAUGUGUAUAAUAUUUAUAUGUUGGUUACAUGGAUAUUGACUUGUUUGUAUAA
This is a long non-coding RNA of Zingiber officinale, 1272 nucleotides long. RefSeq lists it as uncharacterized. The transcript is spliced from 4 exons. The record is from RefSeq and is a predicted model, not a curated record. Lineage: Eukaryota; Viridiplantae; Streptophyta; Magnoliopsida; Zingiberales; Zingiberaceae.